Molecule: unclassified non-coding RNA, 2029 nt
Filed under: Penaeus chinensis
Lineage: Eukaryota; Metazoa; Arthropoda; Malacostraca; Decapoda; Penaeidae
Description: retinol dehydrogenase 11-like, transcript variant X3
Source: RNAcentral
UCGUUGUAAGCGACGUAAAUAACCACGACGACAGGAAUCCGUGAGAUAAUGUGAGAUACGAGGCAGAUAUGGUCAUUUUUUUACAGGUCUGAUCUUAUGUCAGCCAUUCUUCUCCUUCUUACGCUAUGUAGUUGCAGUGGAGAGUUGCUCUGAUAAGUGUACAAGAUGUGGUGGAUUAUACUCACCUUACUAGCCCUGAUUGUAAUAGUCAGAGUAUGGUACAGACUGCAAUCAGGGCGCUGCACGUCUCAAAAAACGUUGGAUGGCAAGACCGUAAUUAUCACAGGUGCCUCCGCAGGUAUUGGUAAAGCUGCAGCAUUUGACCUGGCAAGGAGAAAAGCUCGGGUCAUCCUUGCCUGCAGGAAUUUAGAAAAGGCUCAGAAAGUUGCAGAUGAGAUCAUAAGGGACACAGGAAACACUUCAGUCCUUGUACACAAGCUAGAUACAUCAGACCUCUCUUCUGUUCGAAGUUUUGCAAGUGAGAUUAUCAAAACAGAAAAUUCUCUACAUAUUUUGAUAAAUAAUGCUGGGAUGGCUGGUCAUUAUAAAAGGGAACAUACAGCUGAUGGCUUGGAGUUAACCAUGGCAACAAACCACUAUGGCCAUUUUCUACUUACCAAUUUGUUACUGAAUCUUCUGAAGAAAAGUGCCCCGAGCAGAAUCGUCAAUGUGUCUUCCAAAAUGCACGAGUUUUGCAGUAAGCUAGACCCAGAAGACCUCAAUUUCGAGAAGAGUUCUUAUAGCAGUUUCACGUCAUACAAUCAGAGCAAACUGUGUAACAUCCUCUUCACACUAGAACUCGCAGAAAGGCUUCAUGGCUCAGGGGUUACAACAAACAGCUUGCACCCUGGAGCUGUGGAUACUGAAAUUGCCCAGAAAAUGGGUGGCUUUGCUGGUUACACACAAGCAUUUUUGUUCAAGUUGAUGGGAAAGGAUUGUGAACUCGGUGCUCAGACCAUCAUCCACUUGGCAGUUGCAGAAGAAGUUGAAGGCAUAUCAGGGAAAUACUUUGUUGACUGCAAGGAGAUAGAGAGUUCCAAGCUAGCUCAGCACAGAGGAAUUGCCAAAAAGCUGUGGCUUGCCAGUGAACUUGAUGUGAAGUUGGAAGAUGAGGAAAUGAAGUAGUCUAUGAGGAGGAACCUACAGCAAAAUAUAAAAGUAUAUACGUACAUACAUACAUAUAUAUAAUAUAUAUAUCUGUAAGUGAAUGAUAAGACAUGACAGGCAAGUAAACCAUCCACUUUGCCUGUGCAAGCCAUACCUGUGCCUUGUUAUCUACAGACCAAACAUCUUGUCAUGUAAGUGGAAGUGUCUCCUGUGUGUCAAAGACUUCCUGCUUUCUCUAGCUUCUUUUCUGCUCCAGCUUACAUUUGGUUUCUCUCAGGUGCUGAAUGCUUCUGGCUUUGUCAGCUUUAAGAAUUACAGAUUUUUGUUGUUGAAAGAUUAUUAAUUAUAGAGUUUUAUGUGUAAUAGCACUGGCUUGAUAUCCCUUGGCCUGACUUUUUUAUUUUGUGUGUGUGUGUGUGUGUGUGUGUGUGUGUGUGUGUGUGUGUGUGUGUGUGUGUGUGUGUGUGUGUGUGUGUGUGUGUGUGUGUGUGUGUGUCGGUGUGUGUGAGAGAGAAGAGAAUCUAAAGCUGCUUUUGAGUAGAUAGAAAGUUUAGAAAAUUAAUUAGUAAUCUCUGAAUUGACAGUGCUUAUGAAUUUAUUUUGCUUGAUAAUGGAAGUUGUUUGGAUUGAAAAUACAUAUAGAGAUAAUCGUAAAACAACUAGACAAAGAAUAUGUUCUCCGCAAACAACAAAAACUGUAGUCUAGGACAAGGAUAGCUUUAAAAGUUUGUCCGUAUUCAAAUCUGUAUUAUAUACAUUGCAAAGAAUAUAGAACAAAAGUGAAUGCUCAAAAUGUGUGUAUGUUCUGUUAAUACCAUGUAUAACAUAUCUGUCACAUUUUGCUUGAUAUCUGCUUUAUAUUUUGCAAUUCUAUAGAAUUUGCAUGACUUUUGAUAUCUGGUAAAUAAAAUCAUAUGAAUUA